This is a non-coding RNA of Coffea arabica (coffee), 1070 nucleotides long. NCBI's taxonomy places the organism in Eukaryota, Viridiplantae, Streptophyta, Magnoliopsida, Gentianales, Rubiaceae. The record is from RefSeq and is a predicted model, not a curated record.
AGAAAACACGCGCUUUACUGAUUAUUCUGUGGUUGAGAUUUGAGACUUAUGAGAUAAAAAAAAAAAAAGAAAAAGACUACAAAGAUAUUGAAGAAUAUCAUUUCUCUGUACAUCUUGCCUAAAAAAUCUCUCUUUAGGGUUUCUACUAGUGUCUUGCCUACCCAAUAUUUUCCAGCUUCUGUCAUCUCCCAUCUUGCAGAUCUGAGACUUCCCAGAAAAGAUAUUGUCUGGUUUUCCAUUUUUUGGGGUCAAUCAGUGCCACUCCCUCCGGGUUCUUGCCGUUUUUUGGAAACUUUUUUGUUCAUGUGUUUAUUUUAGAUUUUUCUUGAUCAAGUGUUUUUUGUUGUUUGCACUUUGACCCUUUAUGGUAUCAUUGAUUUGUCUUUCAGGCUUGUCGGUGGAUUUAGCACCUCGUUUCUUAUCUACAAUUGUAAGAAUGUUGAGAGGGAAAACUCAGAUUAAGAGGAUAGAAAGUGCAACAAGCAGACAAGUGACAUUGUCAAAGAGGAGAAGGGGAGUUCUCAAGAAGGCCUUUGAGCUAUCUCAGCUCUUUGUGAUGCGAAGUUGCACUGAUCCGGGGUAGCUUCAUGAACUCUCAAGUUCCAGAAUUUUGAAGAAGAGUUUGCAAUUCUGAGAAAAAAGAAAGUUGAGCUUCAUGAAGAAACUAAACGGUUGUUGUCCUAACGUUGGCCCGUUUUAAGUUUUAAGCACAACUCAUUCCUUAUCGUACAACAACACGAAUUUCGUGCAGUUUUUGGAGAUGAAAAACAGCAUAAUUUUUGUAUGUUGCAGAAAGUUCUUGGGAGAUGGUUUAGAUUCCUCCUCUGUUGAUGAACUGCAACAGAUAGGUGGUCAACUGGAGAAAAGUUUAAGCAUCAUUAGGUCAAGAAAGUUACGUGUUGCAAUAGGCAUCUCUAAAAUGAUUUGAUCAGAAUGUAGAAUUUGAUGGUCAAAAUCGAAUGUUCAAUUCUCCUGCGGAGCCAAUUAUUUUGGGAGCGCAUUCAUUAGCUGAAAAAAGAGGUAAAAUACGCAUUUGAAAAUUCAGAAGUUGCUUAUUCAUUCGUUUGCAU